RNAcentral lists this long non-coding RNA (205 nucleotides) under Elaeis guineensis (African oil palm). RNAcentral describes it as "long non-coding RNA (EGUI_LNC025657)". Lineage: Eukaryota; Viridiplantae; Streptophyta; Magnoliopsida; Arecales; Arecaceae. The record is from RNAcentral.
UUGAUGUACAUGAUUUCCAAAACCAUUCAAGUAAGGAUCAGUGAUAUAAGAUACAUAACUUUAUGUAGAGUCAUAUAUAUUCUUAAUAAUAAGUAUAUAGCAUGCAACUAUCAAAAAUCAUAUAGAGCAAAAUUAUCGAUGCAUAAAAUAAUUUUAUGUAAAUAGAUUAUCAAUGUCCAGUAGUUUUUAUCUUUAUUGCCGGUCA